RNAcentral lists this ribosomal RNA (406 nucleotides) under uncultured bacterium. RNAcentral's name for it is "partial 16S ribosomal RNA". It matches the Rfam family "Bacterial small subunit ribosomal RNA", at positions 30 to 526 of the family's 1533-position model. The record is from RNAcentral.
AUUGAACGCUGGCGGCAGGCCUAACACAUGCAAGUCGAACGAGUGGCGGACGGGUGAGUAAUGUAUGGGGAACUGCCUGCUGGAGGGGGAUAACUACUGGAAACGGUAGCUAAUACCGCAUACAAUCAGAUGUGCCCAUAUGGGCUUAGCUGUUUGGGGGGGUAACGGCUCACCAAGGCGACGAUCCCUAGCUGGUCUGAGAGGAUGACCAGCCACACUGGCACUGUGACACGGUCCAGACUCCUACGGGAGGCAGGAGUGGGGAAGAUGGCACAAUGGGCGCAAGCCUGAUGCAGCCAUGCCGCGUGUAUGAAGAAGGCCUUAGGGUUGUAAAGUACUUUCAGCGGGGAGGCGUUACCCGCAGAAGAAGCACCGGCUAACUCCGUGCCAGCAGCCGCGGUAAUAC